AACGAACGCUGGCGGCAUGCCUAACACAUGCAAGUCGAACGAGACCUCCGGGUCUAGUUGCGCACGGGUGUGGAACGCGUGGGAACCUGCCCUUAGGCUCGGAAUAAUUCUCUGUAAGGGGUGCUAAUACCGGGUAACUUCCUCUGAUCACAGAUUUAUCGUCCUUGGUUGGGCCCGCGUUGUCCUGGCCUGUCGCUAGGGUAAAAGCCUACCACGGCUACGCUCCAUAGCUGGGUGGAGAGGAUGGUCCGCCACACUGGGACUGAGACGCGGCCCGGACUCUUACGGGAGGCAGCAGUGGGGAAUCUUGGCAUACCGGCGAAAGCAAGAACCAGCAAGGGCGCGUGAGUGAUGAAGGCGUUAGGGUUGUACAGCUCUUUUAUCCGCGGUGAUAAUGACAGUACCGAAAGAAUAAGCACCGGCUAACUUCGUG
Molecule: ribosomal RNA, 433 nt
Filed under: uncultured bacterium
Lineage: Bacteria
Description: partial 16S ribosomal RNA
Rfam family: Bacterial small subunit ribosomal RNA
Source: RNAcentral